RNAcentral lists this long non-coding RNA (512 nucleotides) under Dasypus novemcinctus (nine-banded armadillo). Its description in RNAcentral is "lncRNA (ENSDNOG00000052907.1)". The record is from RNAcentral. Lineage: Eukaryota; Metazoa; Chordata; Mammalia; Cingulata; Dasypodidae.
CACAGGCAGGAAGAGAUGAUAAGUGGGUAAAAAGGAACCAACAUUGACAAGUUGGGAGGCACCAUGGUUAUUUCUGACUAGCUUAUAAUUUUCCAGCUCACAUUCUCUCAAGGUGAGAGGCAUGCCUCCUCUUCAAAUCUGAAUCCCGAUACUAAUGUGACUGCAGUGAGUCCAACAGCCAGCACUUUUGAGACUGCUCCUUUGACUAGGAAGACUUUCCAAGUCAAAUCUGAGGCUUCGGCUAAUGCAGAGAGGCGAAGGUCAGAGAAGAACAGCAAUGGAAAACAGCUUUUGGGUUUGAGGAGGGCUUCUCUUUCCAAUUUGCUUUGAUGAUGGCAGUAUUUUGGUGAGAGAAAUGCAACCAAGUGAUAAUGCUUUAAAAAAUAAAUACACUGUAAUUUGUGAAAUAGGCUCAUGGUCAUUGAUUUCCCCUAAGGAGGGGAGAAAAGGAAAAACAUGUGACUUUGUUGUACUAUAAUUUCUUGAAUGAUGUCAUAUAAUAAAUAUAACAC